AUGCCGACGCCGACGCCGAAGUCUCGCCGCCAUGCGCUGCUGCUGGCCGCGCUCGUCCUCGCGGCUGGCGCGGUCGCUCAGGCGGACGACGACCCGUGGGACAGGAAGAGCGACGGCGACGGCAGGAGAGGGGUCGUGUACGGCGCGAGGAAGCCGCCCAGCUUCAGCGCGCCCAUGGUGGUGCUCCUCGUCGCGCUCAUCGCCACCUUCUUCUUCAUCGGCUUCUUCUCCAUCUACAUCCGCCAGUGCGGCCGCGGCAACUCCCCCACCAUCCCGGCCGCCGCGUUCCUCGUGCUGUCGCGGCAGCAGGAGCAGCAGCAGGCCCGGCCGCGCGGGCUCGACCCGGAGGUGGUCGCCUCGUUCCCCGCCAUGACCUACGCCGAGGCGAGGGCGCUCCGGGACAAGGACGGCGACGACACGGCCGUGCUCGAGUGCGCCGUCUGCCUCAGCGAGUUCGAGGACGGGGACCAGCUCCGGCUCCUCCCCAAGUGCAGCCACGCGUUCCACCCGGACUGCAUCGGGGAGUGGCUCGCCGGCCACGUCACCUGCCCCGUCUGCCGCUGCAGCCUCGCCCCCGAGGAGCCGGCCCCGGCCGCGGCUGAAGAGAACAGCGCCGGUGCGGAGGAGCAGCGGGCGCCGGAGGUGGCCAUCGACAUGGACCCCGAGGGAGACGGCGCGGCGCAUGAGGAGAGGAUGAGGGAGGCGGCAGAGCUGGAGCGGAUCGGCAGCCUGCGGCGCGCGGUGCGGUCGCGGUCGGGGCGGCCGUUCUCGCGCGCGCACUCGACGGGCCACUCCCUCUCGGCCCGGUUCGACGGCGACCUGGAGCGGUUCACGCUGCGCCUCCCGGAGCACGUGCGCAGGGACAUGGUGGCCGCGGGCGAGGAGAGCCUGCGCCGCACGGUGGCGCGGGACGCCGGCGCGCGGAGCGCGCGGAUCGGCCGGUCCGACCGGUGGCCGUCGUUCAUCGCCAGGACGUUCUCCUCCAGGGUGCCGUUCUGGGCGGCCUCGAGGAGGGCGCCGGACGCGGAGCCGGUGGGAGCGCCCGCCCCUACGACCCCGACGGCGCCGCCGCUGCCAAGAACCGUCCGUGAGAAGGCGCCGGACGGGUCCGUCGUGGGCUCGGCCACCACCAAGGGGAGCGUGCGCUUCGACUGCCUCGGCGGCAGGGUCGACGGCGACAGCGAGGAGGAGCCGGAGGAGGAGAAGGCGAUCGUCCGGCGAGUCUGA
This 1227-nucleotide ribosomal RNA is filed under the name Triticum aestivum (bread wheat). RNAcentral's name for it is "partial small subunit ribosomal RNA". The record is from RNAcentral. Lineage: Eukaryota; Viridiplantae; Streptophyta; Magnoliopsida; Poales; Poaceae.